CCUACGGGGGGCUGCAGUGGGGAAUUUUGGACAAUGGGGGCAACCCUGAUCCAGCCAUGCCGCGUGAGUGAAGAAGGCCUUCGGGUUGUAAAGCUCUUUCGGCCGGGAAGAAAUCGCUCAAGCUAAUACCUUGGGUGGAUGACGGUACCGGAAGAAGAAGCACCGGCUAACUACGUGCCAGCAGCCGCGGUAAUACGUAGGGUGCUUGCGUUACUCGGAACGUGUGGGCGUAAAGCGUGCGCAGGCGGCGGAAAGCCCCGGGCUUAACCUGGGAACUGCGUUUGUGACUGUGGUGCUCGAGUGCGGCAGAGGGGGGUGGAAUUCCACGUGUAGCAGUGAAAUGCGUAGAGAUGUGGAGGAACACCGAUGGCGAAGGCAGCCCCCUGGGUCGACACUGACGCUCAUGCACGAAAGCGUGGGGAGCAAACUGGAUUAGAUACCCUUGUAGUC
This 450-nucleotide ribosomal RNA is filed under the name uncultured bacterium. RNAcentral describes it as "partial 16S ribosomal RNA". It matches the Rfam family "Bacterial small subunit ribosomal RNA", at positions 338 to 795 of the family's 1533-position model. The record is from RNAcentral.